This is a small nuclear RNA of Monodelphis domestica (gray short-tailed opossum), 102 nucleotides long. The record is from RefSeq and is a predicted model, not a curated record. NCBI's taxonomy places the organism in Eukaryota, Metazoa, Chordata, Mammalia, Didelphimorphia, Didelphidae.
GUGCUUGCUUCAGUAGUACAUAUGCUAAAAUUGGAACAAUAAAGAUUAGCAUGGUCCCUGUGCAAGGAUGACAUGCAAAUUCACAAAGCAUUCCAUAUUUUC